This is a long non-coding RNA of Bos taurus (domestic cattle), 445 nucleotides long. NCBI's taxonomy places the organism in Eukaryota, Metazoa, Chordata, Mammalia, Artiodactyla, Bovidae. The record is from Ensembl.
UGGAGACGGGAGGUGUUGGUGGGGUGGUUGUUACCUUUGGUUUGGUCUGGUAGAGUGUGUGUCCUUUCUCUUCAGUUGCAUUGAGGCUGUUAAAGGCUGACUGGUUCCCUGAUGUGUUACCUGCUUCUGCCACUGAUUGAAACUGCAGAACUUCUCAUUCGUCCCCAAGACUUCCAGUAGGGAAUCAGCUCUAAAAGAAACCAGACCAACGUUUGCCAGCCCCUGCAUUCUGCUACCUCUAUGUGAGGAAUGGAUAGAAUACGUUCAGGCCAUCAUCAUGCAAAGCUCCAGUAGCAGUGACGCCUACACGGAAGACUUGGAACUGCAAACAGAGGCCGGGGUCACCUCAGUGACAUCUGACGCUGUCCAACCAGAAGUUCGAUUUUUGUUUGGGGCGGGGGGUUGGGGGAAGAAGCAGACUGUACUAAAGAACUAAAACAAUUUC